Gouania willdenowi (blunt-snouted clingfish) is the source of this 1500-nucleotide long non-coding RNA. The record is from Ensembl. NCBI's taxonomy places the organism in Eukaryota, Metazoa, Chordata, Actinopteri, Blenniiformes, Gobiesocidae.
GGAACAACUUUAAUCCAGGUGAGAUUAGGCAAAAUAGCUCUUUUGAGAGUAAAUGUUGCAGACUCCUGGUCGAAGUAAAUCCACUUCCCAUAAUGCAAUGCCCAAAACUUUCAAGGCAAUGUCAGUGACAUUGUUUACAGUAGAUUUCAAAACAAACUUUUGAUAAGCAAUUUCAACCUUUCACAUCUGUUUUCUGAACUAAUGAUCUUUGCUUUAUUGAUCUAUGAGGCCUACACUAUGUCUUUAUCUGAUGAAUAAAAAAGCAACUUUAAACUUCAAAACUACAUUUCUGUCACACUUUCUGGGCCUUUUUCUCAGUUUCAGCAGAAGCUGGUUUUCCAAAUGGUAUUACGUUACAUCUGAGGUUCAUUGAUUUCUGUAUAGUGAUCAGGCAACCUUCAUUGGCUGUAAAGACACAGAUGAAAUGGUUGAGCAAUAGUUCAAACUAUAUUGAAAUAAGAAUAAUUAGAAACAUGAUUUGCUUUGCACUGGCGCCCUGUCCAGGGUGUACCCCCGCCCAGCGCCCUAUGAGAGCCGGAGAUUGGCACCGGCAGACCCCCGCGACCCUGUUAAAUGGGAAUAAGCGGAUAUGAAAAUGGAUGGAUGGAUGGAUUUGCUUUGCAUAAAUGUUAAUGCAAAUAUUAACAUACACUCUGUUUGUAACCUUAGAAGAUAGUUUUUUCUUCUAUAGGGUGACAUACAAUGAUACAAAGCAUGUUUGCAAAGCAGUGUGUUUAACAAGUAAACAUUCAGCUUUCAUAAUAUCACUAAGUACCCACUGUUGUCUGGAGGGGUGGGAAGAAUUGGCAGGAAAACUAUUGGUCCGUGGUCUUUAUUUAAAGUGAACUGUGAGAGACCGAGGGACAGCAGCUCAACUAGAGUCACCAUGAAGAUCGUUUGCGUUGCUGUCGUUGCACUGAGUCUCAUCUCUGGAUGUUGCUCUGCACCACUGGCCUGUGAGAAGCUAAUGAAACCAAUAGAACGGAUUCCAGAUGUGUCGGGGAGAUGGUACAUCAUUGGUUUGUCCACUGCCCUCUGCUUGCCAUCAACACUAAUUAAUGCUGUCAUAUGGCCAUCGUUCACUUUUGAUUUUGCCUCGAAAGGCAGACCAGACAUCUACAUCAGUACAACAAAUGUCAAAAUGUACGGAUUUUGCCACAAUGAAACAUCACCACUUUUGAUUAAAGGCAACUCUAUGAUUGAAGUCGAUGAAAAUGAUGCUCCAACAGGUGAUUCACUGAGUCUGUUGCAAACUGGCUGUCCUGACUGCUUUGUAGUAACGGGAAAUGACUUACUUCACUAUUUGCUGAUUGCCAGCAGGAGAAAGAACAUCACUGCCGCUGAGCUGGAUGAGUUUGAGAUGCAGGCCAAGUGUUUAAGCUUGUCCAAACCGCAGUACAUGAACACUGACUUUGGUAAGAUUUGUUCAUCUUGAACUUCUUCAUGUCCACCUUAGAGCAACCUACACAUUUAAAGCAAGGUGAUAGGCUGCAGAAAUAU